Molecule: long non-coding RNA, 655 nt
Organism: Lycium ferocissimum
Lineage: Eukaryota; Viridiplantae; Streptophyta; Magnoliopsida; Solanales; Solanaceae
Exons: 3
Source: RefSeq, a predicted model, not a curated record
AGUAUGAUAAAGGGGUGUCCUGCAUUCCAAUGGUACCUCCAUCACCGUUGAAACUGAAUUGGAAAUCAGUACAAUUAUGACGAAGAGUGUCUUGCAUUGUGGCACUAAAAUAGUAGUGCUUCGUGUCACUUUUGAACUGGCAAUUUGUAUAACUAUGAUAAAGGAUGUCUUGCAUUGUAGUGGUAGCCUCUGUAUUACUCUUGAAAUUGAAUAAGAAAAAUUAACGGUGAAUGCAGAUAGUAAGGAAGGCUUCCUUGCAAGUAAGAAAUAAUACCAAGCUUCCCCAAUGAAGAUUAUAUGGAAAAGGGAUUCUAAUCGGUUCGUUCUUGUGGCUGGAAUUAUUUGGGAAUGGGAAUCUGCAUUUAUCUUCCGUUCUUAACAUGGAGCCCUUUGUGACAAAAGCAGUAAAAUAUAUGAAGCAAUACAGAGAAUAGGACUUGUAACACCUCCAAAUUGUUGUCCUAUUCUUGUAGCAGAUGAUCCAAAAAAGAUUGAUAUAUCGAAAAGGAGAUCUCCAUAAAAGGGUGUCCAAUCUCUUUCUUACUUUAUGGAGGAUGUUACAGCAACUAAUGGAUCUCAGUCACCACUUCCAUUUAGAGGACAUACGGCAACCGGAAGAUGAGAACUUUAUAGCAAAACCAAAAAUGAAGGUGAA